UUUGAUCCUGGCUCAGGACGAACGCUUUGGUGCCUAACAUGCUUGUAGAGCGAACCAUUAAGAAGCUUGCUCUUUGUUGGUUAGCGGGACGGGUGAGUAACACGUGGGUAACCUGCCUGUAAGACCGGGAUAACUCCGGGAUUUCCGGUGCUAAUACCGGAUAGAUUAUCUUUCCGCCUGGAGAAAUAAGGAAAGAUGGCUAUUGCCAUCACUUACAGAUGGGUUUGCGGGCCGCAUUAGCUAGCGUUGGUGAUAGGUAACGGCUCACCAAGGCGACGAUGCGUACCGACCUGAGAGGGUGAUCGGCCACACUGGGACUGAGACACGGCCCAGACUCCUACGGGAGGCAGCAGUAGGGAAUCUUCCGCAAUGGACGAAAGUCUGACGGAGCAACGCCGUUUGAGUAUUAGAAGGUCUUCGGAUCGUAAAGCUCUGUUGUUAGGGAAGAACAAGUAUCGGAGGAAAUGCCGGUACCUUGUGACGGUACCUGACGAGAAAGCCACGGCUAACUACGUGCCAGCAGCCGCGGUAAUACGUAGGUGGCAAGCGUUGUCCGGAUUUAUUGGCGUAAAGCGCGCGCAGUGUGCGGUCCUUUAAGUCUGAUGUGAGUAAUCUUGCGGCUCAACCGCAAGCUGUCAUUGGAAACUGGGGGACUUGAGUGCAGAAGAGGAAAGCGAAUUCCACGUGUAGCGGUGAAAUGCGUAAGAUGUGGAGGAACACCAGUUCGAAGCGGCAAACUGGUCUGUAACUGACGCUGAGGCGCGAAAGCGUGGGAGCAAACAGGAUUAGAUACCCUGGUAGUCCACGCCGUAUUCGAUGAGUGCUAAGUGUUGGAGGUUCCGCCCUUCAGUGCUGCAGUAACGCAUUAAGCACUCCGCCUGGGGAGUACGGGGUUCGCAAGACUGAAACUCAAAGGAAUUGACGGGGGCCGCACAAGCGGUGGAGCAUGUGGUUUAAUUCGAAGCAACGCGAAGAACCUUACCAGGUCUUGACAUCUCCUGACCGCCCUGGAGACAGGGUCUUCUUUGGGACAGGAUGACAGGUGGUGCAUGGUCGUCAGCUCGUGUCGUGAGAUGUUGGGUUAAGUCCCGCAACGAGCAGCGCAACCCUUUCUAGUUGCCAGCAUUCAGUUGGGCACUCUAGAGCGACUGCCGGCGACAAGUCGGAGGAAGGUGGGGAUGACGUCAAAUAAUCAUGCCCCUUAUGACCUGGGCUACACACGUGCUACAAUGGAUGGUACAAAGGGCGAAGCGGCGACGCAUGAGCGAAUCCCAGAAAACCAUUCUCAGUUCGGAUUGCAGGCUGCAACUCGCCUGCAUGAAGCCGGAAUCGCUAAAUCGCGGAUCAGC
RNAcentral lists this ribosomal RNA (1349 nucleotides) under uncultured bacterium. RNAcentral's name for it is "bacterial SSU rRNA". It matches the Rfam family "Bacterial small subunit ribosomal RNA", at positions 12 to 1353 of the family's 1533-position model. The record is from RNAcentral.